This 497-nucleotide ribosomal RNA is filed under the name uncultured bacterium. RNAcentral describes it as "partial 16S ribosomal RNA". It matches the Rfam family "Bacterial small subunit ribosomal RNA", at positions 28 to 507 of the family's 1533-position model. The record is from RNAcentral.
GAUGAACGCUGGCGGCGUGCCUAAUACAUGCAAGUCGAGCGAACGGACGAGAAGCUUGCUUCUCUGAUGUUAGCGGCGGACGGGUGAGUAACACGUGGAUAACCUACCUAUAAGACUGGGAUAACUUCGGGAAACCGGAGCUAAUACCGGAUGAUAUUUUGAACCGCAUGGUUCAAAAGUGAAAGACGGUCUUGCUGUCACUUAUAGAUGGAUCCGCGCUGCAUUAGCUAGUUGGUAAGGUAACGGCUUACCAAGGCAACGAUGCAUAGCCGACCUGAGAGGGUGGUCGGCCACACUGGAGCUGAGACACGGUCCAGACUCCUACGGGAGGCAGCAGUAGGGAAUCUUCCGCAAUGGGCGAAAGCCUGACGGAGCAACGCCGCGUGAGUGAUGAAGGUCUUCGGAUCGUAAAGCUCUGUUAUUAGGGAAGAACAUAUGUGUAAGUAACUGUGCACAUCUUGACGGUACCUAAUCAGAAAGCCACGGCUAACUACGUG